This 269-nucleotide ribosomal RNA is filed under the name uncultured bacterium. RNAcentral describes it as "partial 16S ribosomal RNA". It matches the Rfam family "Bacterial small subunit ribosomal RNA", at positions 87 to 354 of the family's 1533-position model. The record is from RNAcentral.
CCCGGCGACCGGCGCACGGGUGAGUAACACGUAUGCAACCUGGCCGUGACAGAUGGAUAACCGGGAGAAAUCCCGCCUAAUACAGCAUGACGCCGCGGGAGGACAUCCUCCCGCGGCCAAAGGGGCGACCCGGUCACGGAUGGGCAUGCGGCGCAUUAGGUAGUUGGUGGGGCAACGGCCCACCAAGCCGACGAUGCGUAGGGGUUCUGAGAGGAAGGUCCCCCACAUUGGAACUGAGACACGGUCCAAACUCCUACGGAAGGCAGCAG